CAAGUCCUCAUGGCCUUUAUGAAGUGGGCUACACGUUUGCUACAAUGGGUGAAACAAAUGAAAAUCAAAUUCAUUCUAAGUUCAGAUUCAAAUCUGAAAUUGAUUUGAUCAAGGAGGAAUCGCGAGUAAUCGAGAAUCAGACAAGUCUCGGUGAAGUUAAGAAUAUAAAUAAUUCUUUUUUAGUUGAUCUCGUACUCAUCGCUCGUCAAAGGCUUAGAAUUGGUAGAUCGUAAAGUUAAAACGAUGCAAAAGCAUAUAUUUUAGAUAGCGGUAUGCCUUUAAUAGGUCUUAAGUCGAAACAAAGUCGGGCUAGGGGAACCUGGU
RNAcentral lists this ribosomal RNA (324 nucleotides) under Chlamydomonas euryale. RNAcentral's name for it is "partial Bacterial small subunit ribosomal RNA". It matches the Rfam family "Bacterial small subunit ribosomal RNA", at positions 1186 to 1516 of the family's 1533-position model. The record is from RNAcentral. Lineage: Eukaryota; Viridiplantae; Chlorophyta; Chlorophyceae; Chlamydomonadales; Chlamydomonadaceae.